This is a long non-coding RNA of Tympanuchus pallidicinctus (lesser prairie-chicken), 320 nucleotides long. RefSeq lists it as uncharacterized. The record is from RefSeq and is a predicted model, not a curated record. NCBI's taxonomy places the organism in Eukaryota, Metazoa, Chordata, Aves, Galliformes, Phasianidae. The transcript has 2 exons.
GCUCACUGCCCAUACAGAGUUAAAGAGAAGGAACCUGUUCACAAUUCUCAGGUGAGGUAUGGCAUAGCUGCAAUGUUGUCAUAUCCUGAAAACGUAAAGAAGGGGCAGGUGUUAGAUAUUCUUCAAGUUCUCUUAAUAUUACAGGACAUGUACAGCAUGCUCUGUUAUGAUCAAAUUUGAAAGGCCCCUCAUAUACAAGGCAUAAUUUCACCUACCAUUUUUAGAGUUAUCUGUUCUAUUUCUUCCUCUGUUUUUCCUCUUAAGCAUUCAACCAGAGCGGCAGAACUGGAUUUCUCACAGCCAGAUGCAGCAGCAAUUCU